AGAGUUUGAUCAUGGNUCAGGACGAACGCUGGCGGCGUGCUUAACACAUGCAAGUCGAGCGGUAAGGCCCUUUCGGGGGUACACGAGCGGCGAACGGGUGAGUAACACGUGGGUAACCUGCCCUCAGCUCUGGGAUAAGCCCGGGAAACUGGGUCUAAUACCGGAUAUGACUCCGCAUCGCAUGGUGUAGGGGUGGAAAGCCUUGUAGCGGCUGAGGAUGGACCCGCGGCCUAUCAGCUUGUUGGUGGGGUAGUAGGCCAUACCAAGGCGACAGACGGGUAGCCAGGCACUGAGAGGGCGACCGGCCACACUGGGACUGAGACACGGCNCCAGACUACCNUACGGGAGAGCAGCAGUAGGGGAAUAUAUGCGCAAUNGGGCGAAAGNCUAGACGCANGCGACAGNCA
RNAcentral lists this ribosomal RNA (407 nucleotides) under uncultured bacterium. RNAcentral describes it as "bacterial SSU rRNA". It matches the Rfam family "Bacterial small subunit ribosomal RNA", at positions 8 to 399 of the family's 1533-position model. The record is from RNAcentral.